CRCCYUAUCUGAGAGAUUCGGGAGUGCUCGAAAGAGAACCGGCGCACAGGUGCUGCAUGGCUGUCGUCAGCUCGMUCGKGRGAUGUUGGGUUAAGUCCCGCAACGAGCGCAACCCUUGUCCUUAGUUGCUACGCAAGAGCACUCUAAGGAGACUGCCGGUGACAAACCGGAGGAAGGUGGGGAUGACGUCAAGUCCUCAUGGCCCUUAUGGGUAGGGCUUCACACGUCAUACAAUGGUCGGAACAGAGGGUUGCCAACCCGCGAGGGGGAGCUAAUCCCAGAAAACCGAUCGUAGUCCGGAUUGCACUCUGCAACUCGAGUGCAUGAAGCUGGAAUCGCUAGUAAUCGCGGAUCAGCAUGCCGCGGUGAAUACGUUCCCGGGUCUUGUACACACCGA
Molecule: ribosomal RNA, 397 nt
Filed under: Burkholderia vietnamiensis
Lineage: Bacteria; Pseudomonadati; Pseudomonadota; Betaproteobacteria; Burkholderiales; Burkholderiaceae
Description: bacterial SSU rRNA
Rfam family: Bacterial small subunit ribosomal RNA
Source: RNAcentral